Molecule: unclassified non-coding RNA, 312 nt
Filed under: plant metagenome
Description: partial contains 5.8S ribosomal RNA, internal transcribed spacer 2, and large subunit ribosomal RNA
Rfam family: 5.8S ribosomal RNA (bases 1-105)
Source: RNAcentral
GAAAUGCGAUAAGUAAUGUGAAUUGCAGAAUUCCGUGAAUCAUCGAAUCUUCGAACGCACAUUGCGCCCUCUGGCAUUCCGGGGGGGAUGCCUGUCCGAGCGUCAUUACGCACCCUCAAGCCCGGCUUGUGUGAUGGGCCCCGGCGUCUCGUUCGCGAGACGGGCCCGAAAGGCAGCGGCGGCGUCGACCCGAUGAGCCCGAGCGUAUGGGGACUUCUGUCACACGUUCGCGGUGCGGACCGGCGCCUGCUUGACUUUUCUGAUUAUCCAGGUUGACCUCGGAUCAGGUAGGGAUACCCGCUGAACUUAAGC